This 419-nucleotide ribosomal RNA is filed under the name uncultured Gemmatimonas sp. Its description in RNAcentral is "bacterial SSU rRNA". It matches the Rfam family "Bacterial small subunit ribosomal RNA", at positions 355 to 774 of the family's 1533-position model. The record is from RNAcentral. Lineage: Bacteria; Pseudomonadati; Gemmatimonadota; Gemmatimonadia; Gemmatimonadales; Gemmatimonadaceae.
UGGGGAAUCUUGCGCAAUGGCCGAAAGGCUGACGCAGCGACGCCGCGUGUGGGAGGACGCCCUUCGGGGUGUAAACCACUGUUGCCCGGGACGAACAUCCCCUUUCGAGGGGACUGACGGUACCGGGUGAGGAAGCACCGGCUAACUCCGUGCCAGCAGCCGCGGUAAUACGGAGGGUGCGAGCGUUGUCCGGAAUCACUGGGCGUAAAGGGCGCGUAGGUGGCGCGGGUAGUCGUCGGUGAAAGUUCAGGGCUCAACCCUGAAUCGGCCGGCGAUACUCCCGUGCUCGAGUGUGGUAGAGGCCAAUGGAAUUCCGGGUGUAGCGGUGGAAUGCGUAGAGAUCCGGAAGAACACCGGUGGCGAAGGCGGUUGGCUGGGCCACAACUGACACUGAUGCGCGACAGCGUGGGGAGCAAACA